CCUACGGGGGGCAGCAGUGGGGAAUAUUGCACAAUGGGGGAAACCCUGAUGCAGCGACGCCGCGUGAAGGACGAAGUAUUUCGGUACGUAAACUUCUAUCAGCAGGGAAGAAAAUGACGGUACCUGACCACGAAGCCCCGGCUAACUCCGUGCCAGCAGCCGCGGUAAUACGGAGGAUCCGAGCGUUAUCCGGAUUUAUUGGGUGUAAAGGGAGCGUAUACGGCAGCACAAGUCUGGAGUGAAAUCCCGGGGCUUAACCCCGGAACUGCUUUGGAAACUGUGCGGCUGGAGUGCAGGAGGGGUAAGCGGAAUUCCUAGUGUAGCGGUGAAAUGCGUAGAUAUUAGGAGGAACACCGGUGGCGAAGGCGGCUUACUGGACUGUAACUGACGUUGAGGCUCGAAAGCGUGGGGAGCAAACAGGAUUAGAUACCCGAGUAGUC
Molecule: ribosomal RNA, 440 nt
Filed under: uncultured bacterium
Lineage: Bacteria
Description: partial 16S ribosomal RNA
Rfam family: Bacterial small subunit ribosomal RNA
Source: RNAcentral